CCCUUAGAUGUUCUGGGCCGCACGCGCGCUACAAUGAUGCAGGCAACGAGUGCCGCUCCUUAGCCGAAAGGCUUGGGGAAUCUUGAAAACUGCAUCGUGCUAGGGAUAGAUGAUUGCAAUCGUGCAUCUUGAACGAGGAAUGCCUUGUAAGCGUGAGUCAUCAACUCGCGCUGAAUACGUCCCUGCCCUUUGUACACACCGUCCGUCGCUCCUACCGAUUGGAUGGUCCGGUGAACUGGUCGGACUGCUGUUUGAAAUUGCGGGUGCAGUUGAUUCACGGGAAGUCUAGUAAACCUUAUCAUCUAGAGGAAGGAGAAGUCGUAACA
RNAcentral lists this ribosomal RNA (326 nucleotides) under uncultured eukaryote. RNAcentral describes it as "partial 18S ribosomal RNA". It matches the Rfam family "Eukaryotic small subunit ribosomal RNA", at positions 1470 to 1796 of the family's 1831-position model. The record is from RNAcentral.